This 228-nucleotide long non-coding RNA is filed under the name Pan troglodytes (chimpanzee). RNAcentral's name for it is "long non-coding RNA NONPTRT001067". The record is from RNAcentral. Lineage: Eukaryota; Metazoa; Chordata; Mammalia; Primates; Hominidae.
CAAUUUUCACUAUCUUUUUCAGUUAUGAUACACUGCCUAUUACAAAUGAAUGAAUCCUUUUUUUUUUUCCAUUUACUUCCAUUUGAUUCAUUUAUUCCAGGGAGUGACACACUUUUUCUGUAAAGGACCGAUAGUAAAUAUGGACAAUGUGGCCCAUGAGCCUUAGUUUGCCAACUCCUAGAAAAUAUAUAAAUGUUAUCCAACCAUACAUCCAUUGUUUCACAUCAG